GCCGCGUGAGUGAUGAAGGUUUUCGGAUCGUAAAACUCUGUUGUUAAAGAAGAACAAGUGUUAGAGUAACUGUUAACACUUUGACGGUAUUUAACCAGAAAGCCACGGCUAACUACGUGCCAGCAGCCGCGGUAAUACGUAGGUGGCAAGCGUUGUCCGGAUUUAUUGGGCGUAAAGCGAGCGCAGGCGGUUUUGUAAGUCUGCUGUGAAAGCCCUCAGCUCAACUGAGGAAGUGCAGUGGAAACUACAAAACUUGAGUACAGAAGAGGAAAGUGGAACUCCAUGUGUAGCG
RNAcentral lists this ribosomal RNA (292 nucleotides) under uncultured Lactobacillus sp. RNAcentral describes it as "partial 16S ribosomal RNA". It matches the Rfam family "Bacterial small subunit ribosomal RNA", at positions 396 to 680 of the family's 1533-position model. Lineage: Bacteria; Bacillati; Bacillota; Bacilli; Lactobacillales; Lactobacillaceae. The record is from RNAcentral.